Molecule: long non-coding RNA, 290 nt
Organism: Pezoporus flaviventris
Lineage: Eukaryota; Metazoa; Chordata; Aves; Psittaciformes; Psittacidae
Exons: 3
Source: RefSeq, a predicted model, not a curated record
AGCUGCUCACUUAUCCAUGCAAAAUUAGUGCAGUGUGGGGGCGGUAGCUCUGGCAGAGGAAAAGGCAGCAAGCCACUGGGGGAAGACUUGCAUCUUCAGCCAGCACAGCUGCUUGCAAAAUGAACUAUCUUGCUACACCCCUUGCCCUGAGGGGCCUAACACACACUGAUGACACUGAGACCAGCCAUCACAGCCACUUUUCUUUUACAGCAGACUGGUUGGUACAGCACCUGCCCAAGCUGUGAGAGAGGAUCCAAAAGAGCACUGCCUACUUCCCAGAUGUUUGCAGC